Molecule: long non-coding RNA, 992 nt
Organism: Brassica napus (rape)
Lineage: Eukaryota; Viridiplantae; Streptophyta; Magnoliopsida; Brassicales; Brassicaceae
Exons: 3
Source: RefSeq, a predicted model, not a curated record
UAAGAGCAGGAUUAUCCCAGGUUCUUAAGGGGGUUUUUAGAAAAAUUCAGUGAUUUAAUUAAAUCAAAAAUAAUUAUAGAGUGAGUAAGCGAUCCUUAAUAAGGCAUUUUGGGGACCGAUUUAGAGGGGGUUUUAUAGACCACGUGUCAGCUUAUGAAAAAGUUUCAAAUUUUGUUUUUUUUUUAAUUUCUUUUCUUUGUUGUUUUCUUCUCUCUCCCUCGUGCUCUCCGUCUUUUGUCGGCGUCGUCUCUGUUUCUCUCCUCUUCUCCGCUGGACGAACGAAAUGAGAUUAUUAAUCAGAAGCUUCAAGAGAACCCUCUGUUUUGCGAGACCUCUCUCCCCCAACUGUAUCCACUUCUACUCGGUGUUGUAGCCUCUGGGUACUUCCCCUUCAAGAGAACCCUCUGUUUACUUUUUCCAGGGGAUCUACUAAACUCUUGGAAACUUUGUCAAGGCGCUUGUUAAGGAGAUUGUGAGUUCGAGAAGGAGAUUGUGUGUUCGAGAAGGACGAUUAAGAAUUUAUAUGAAAACAAGGCUCAGAUGAAUUCCAUAUCAAUGCACCUUGGGGACUCUUAUGCUGUUGGUCAAACAGUUGGGAAUAUGUCAAAGAGUGCAGAGGUUAUGAAGCUUGUCAAUAAUCUCAUGAAGGCUCCACAAAUGGCUGCAACUAUGCAGGAGUUCACCAAAGAGAUGACUAAGGUAGCUUUAUCCGUUUCCCUUUCUCUCACUCAGUUGAAAGCUCUCUUUGACAUACAAGGUUCAUAUGAAUUUAAGUAGAUGUGGAUCACGUAUCUUUUUUUGUUAUCUUGUUUCGUUUUAGAUUUGGUGUAUAGUGUGUCACGAGUCUUGUUUCCUUGUGUCACAAGACUUGUAUUUUUGUAGAUGUUUCCUUUUGUCACAAGUCUUGCAUUGUUGUAGAACUGUAAAAUUUUAUCUUCCAAAAAAAUGUAAUUUUUUUUAAGAAUUCUCAAUUAAGAAACUCCCAUUAAACC